RNAcentral lists this long non-coding RNA (1188 nucleotides) under Equus asinus (donkey). RNAcentral describes it as "lncRNA (ENSEASG00005033378.1)". Lineage: Eukaryota; Metazoa; Chordata; Mammalia; Perissodactyla; Equidae. The record is from RNAcentral.
AAAUCUUUAAAAAAAAAACCAGAGGAGGAAAUAAAUGCCUUUCCCCGUGACUCUCUUGGCUUAUUCACCUCCUGGAAAAAAGCAGUUAGCCCUUGUCCACGCAUCUAAUAGAGAUCAACCUGGCGUUUCACUCAGCAUUUCAGCCACUGUGGGGUCCAUUCCCAGGGUCUCUAAUGCGUGCAACUUCAAGCCUCAAGGUGCCUUCUAACCCUCCUUUGUCUAGGAUGUCUUUCCUUUCUCUUCCCUCCUUUUUCUCCUCCCUGCUUUUCCUCACAUCACCCAGACCUCCCAGUGGUUCCCACCCACACCCCAAGGUCUUCACACAACUAGAAAGAUGGCUGCCUCCCGGCUCACACUAAACGGACACAACACAGACCAUGAAUUCACCAAAAGAAGUGUCUUUCCUUUCGAGAAGUCACUACCUCGCUUCCCCAACGAGUGAGCGCCAGACUUAGAAAGAAGAAUUGGGAAAAAUGUCCGUGUGUAACUGAAAGAGCUCAGUGGCCCGCAGGUUAGCCUCCAGGAAAUUUCGUCACAGCAUCACGGCUCAGGAAAAUAACUUCAGCAACCUCUUGGAGCUGAUGAGUGAUGUGAUUUGACCUCUAGGCAGCAUUCAUUUCCAGAAAUCAUUUGUUUAAAAAACAAAUAAGAAUCGCCUGCUUUCUGAAGGCCAGAUCCAGGUGUAGAGGAUACGGGACUAAAACAGACAGACAGUAUUUCUGCCCUCGCAAAACCUACCCUCUAAUAGGGACCACAGAUAAUAUACGUGUAAAUAAAAUUAAAUAAAUUAAGAGUUAGUCUGAGGCAAGAAAGGAAUCCCAGUGGUUAGAAAAUAGAGCAACUUCUUUCUUUCUUUGCCCCAUUUGAGCAACCCCUCUCUCCUCCUCAGUUCAGGCUGGGGCCCACGUCCCUGCGCGGCAGGCCGGUGAGGUCUUCCCGUUUCCUGCAUCUCGUGCGAAGGAGCAUUCAGGAGGUGGACAACAAGGGUUUUAUUCAACUUGAUCAUCUCCUCAAAAGAAAAAAAAGAGACAGAAAGAAAAAGUUGGGAGAGGCCAGACUAAAUGGAUAUGAUCUGAAUGCAUAUUUGUGUUACAACUAAUACAACCAGCAUCAGAGAGGGACCAAGAUCAAAUAAAUGGUAAAACCUGACAAAGAGAAGAAUAGAUGGCAUGUGGAGCCAUCUGUUUU